UUGUCUAUCUGUGCUGGUGGAGACACAUGUGCACGUUGGCAGGUCGCAAAUCCACACACCUGUGCAUCUAUGACUCUGAGUACCGCUUUGCAUGGCCCUUAGGGGUCUGGUACUCGAGUACUUUACACACUCUGAAUGUAAUGGAAUGUCUUUUGUACAAUGUACAACUAAAACAACUUUCAACAACGGAUCUCUUGGCUCUCGCAUCGAUGAAGAACGCAGCGAAAUGCGAUAAGUAAUGUGAAUUGCAGAAUUCAGUGAAUCAUCGAAUCUUUGAACGCACCUUGCACCCUUUGGUAUUCCGAAGGGUACACCCGUUUGAGUGUCAUUGUAAUCUCACUACAAUCACUUUAUUGUCGUUUGUAUGUGGACCUGGAUGUUGCCGUGUAACAAACGGCUCGUCUGAAAUGCCUGAGUGUACCCUGCUUUGCGGCGUAUUCGGUGUGAUAAAUCUUCACCGGAGUUGACUUUCGGGUCGCGUCUGCUUAACAUGGCUCUAUGCUUCCAACCGUCCUAACAAGACAACCUUUGACAAUUUGACCUCAAAUCGGGUGGGACUACCCGCUGAACUUAAGCAUAUCAAUAAGCGGAGGAAAAGAAACUAACAAGGAUUCCCCUAGUAACGGCGAGUGAAGAGGGAAAAGCUCAAAUUUUGAAUCUGGUGUCUUUGACUCCCGAGUUGUAAUCUAGAGAAGUGUUUUCCGCGUUGGACCGUGUACAAGUUCCCUGGAACGGGGCGUCAUAGAGGGUGAGAAUCCCGUAUAUGCCACGGACUACCAAUGCUCUGUGAUACACUCUCAACGAGUCGAGUUGUUUGGGAAUGCAGCUCAAAAUGGGUGGUAAAUUCCAUCUAAAGCUAAAUAUUGGCGAGAGACCGAUAGCGAACAAGUACCGUGAGGGAAAGAUGAAAAGCACUUUGGAAAGAGAGUGAAACAGUACGUGAAAUUGUUGAAAGGGAAGCGUUUGAAGUCAGUCACGUCUGUCGGAAUUCAGCCUGGCUUCUGCCUGGUGUACUUUCCGUCCGACGGGUCAGCAUCAAUUUUGAUCGAGGGAAAAAGACGUGGGGAAUGUGGCUGUCUUCGGGCAGUGUUAUAGACUCGCGUUGUAUGUCUCGGUUGGGAUUGAGGAACGCA
RNAcentral lists this ribosomal RNA (1133 nucleotides) under uncultured Sebacina. Its description in RNAcentral is "eukaryotic LSU rRNA". The stretch from base 538 to 1133 matches the Rfam family "Eukaryotic large subunit ribosomal RNA", at positions 1 to 599 of the family's 3401-position model. The record is from RNAcentral. Lineage: Eukaryota; Fungi; Basidiomycota; Agaricomycetes; Sebacinales; Sebacinaceae.